UGCAAGUCGAGCGGUAAGGCCCUUCGGGGUACACGAGCGGCGAACGGGUGAGUAACACGUGGGUAACCUGCCCUGUACUCUGGGAUAAGCCUGGGAAACUAGGUCUAAUACCGGAUAUGACCUGACAUCGCAUGGUGUUGGGUGGAAAGUUCCGGCGGUACAGGAUGGACCCGCGGCCUAUCAGCUUGUUGGUGGGGUAACGGCCUACCAAGGCGACGACGGGUAGCCGGCCUGAGAGGGCGACCGGCCACACUGGGACUGAGACACGGCCCAGACUCCUACGGGAGGCAGCAGUGGGGAAUAUUGCACAAUGGGCGAAAGCCUGAUGCAGCGACGCCGCGUGAGGGAUGACGGCCUUCGGGUUGUAAACCUCUUUCAGCAGGGACGAAGCGCAAGUGACGGUACCUGCAGAAGAAGCACCGGCUAACUACGUGCCAGCAGCCGCGGUAAUACGUAGGGUGCGAGCGUUGUCCGGAAUUAUUGGGCGUAAAGAGCUCGUAGGCGGUUUGUUGCGUCGGCUGUGAAAACCUACAGCUUAACUGUGGGCCUGCAGUCGAUACGGGCAGACUUGAGUUCGGCAGGGGAGACUGGAAUUCCUGGUGUAGCGGUGAAAUGCGCAGAUAUCAGGAGGAACACCGGUGGCGAAGGCGGGUCUCUGGGCCGAUACUGACGCUGAGGAGCGAAAGCGUGGGGAGCGAACAGGAUUAGAUACCCUGGUAGUCCACGCCGUAACCGUGGGUGCUAGGUGUGGGGGACUUCCACGUCCUCCGUGCCGCAGCUAACGCAUUAAGCACCCCGCCUGGGG
RNAcentral lists this ribosomal RNA (805 nucleotides) under Saccharothrix sp. PDD-6b-3. Its description in RNAcentral is "bacterial SSU rRNA". It matches the Rfam family "Bacterial small subunit ribosomal RNA", at positions 56 to 878 of the family's 1533-position model. The record is from RNAcentral. Lineage: Bacteria; Bacillati; Actinomycetota; Actinomycetes; Pseudonocardiales; Pseudonocardiaceae.